RNAcentral lists this ribosomal RNA (468 nucleotides) under uncultured bacterium. Its description in RNAcentral is "partial 16S ribosomal RNA". It matches the Rfam family "Bacterial small subunit ribosomal RNA", at positions 28 to 507 of the family's 1533-position model. The record is from RNAcentral.
GACGAACGCUGGCGGCGUGCUUAACACAUGCAAGUCGAACGGAAAGGCCUUCAGCUUGCUGCGUGUACGCGAGUGGCGAACGGGUGAGUAACACGUGUGUGAUCUGCCUUGCACUUCGGGAUAAGCUGGGGAAACUGGGUCUAAUACCGGAUAAGACAGCGGUGUAGUGUCAGGUGUGGAAAGUUUUUUCGGUGCAGGAUGAGCUCGCGGCCUAUCAGCUUGUUGGUGGGGUAAUGGCCUACCAAGGCGUCGACGGGUAGCCGGCCUGAGAGGGUGUACGGCCACAUUGGGACUGAGAUACGGCCCAGACUCCUACGGGAGGCAGCAGUGGGGAAUAUUGCACAAUGGGCGGAAGCCUGAUGCAGCGACGCCGCGUGGGGGAUGAAGGCCUUCGGGUUGUAAACUCCUUUCGACAGGGACGAAGCUUUUGUGACGGUAACUGUAUAAGAAGCACCGGCUAACUACGUG